GCGAAGGUGGCGGAAUUGGUAGACGCGCUAGCUUCAGGUGUUAGUGCCCCCCGGGUGUGAGGGUUCGA
RNAcentral lists this transfer RNA (68 nucleotides) under Aeromonas caviae. RNAcentral's name for it is "tRNA-Leu". Lineage: Bacteria; Pseudomonadati; Pseudomonadota; Gammaproteobacteria; Aeromonadales; Aeromonadaceae. The record is from RNAcentral.